This 478-nucleotide ribosomal RNA is filed under the name uncultured bacterium. RNAcentral's name for it is "partial 16S ribosomal RNA". It matches the Rfam family "Bacterial small subunit ribosomal RNA", at positions 28 to 523 of the family's 1533-position model. The record is from RNAcentral.
GACGAACGCUGGCGGCGUGCUUAACACAUGCAAGUCGAACGGUAAGGCCCUUCGGGGUACACGAGUGGCGAACGGGUGAGUAACACGUGGGUGAUCUGCCCUGCACUUCGGGAUAAGCCUGGGAAACUGGGUCUAAUACCGGAUAGGACUCCUGGCUUCAUGGUUGGGGGUGGAAAGCUUUUGCGGUGUGGGAUGGGCCCGCGGCCUAUCAGCUUGUUGGUGGGGUAAAGGCCUACCAAGGCGACGACGGGUAGCCGGCCUGAGAGGGUGACCGGUCACGCUGGGACUGGGAUACGGCCCAGACUCCUACGGGAGGCAGCAGUGGGGAAUAUUGCACAAUGGGCGCAAGCCUGAUGCAGCGACGCCGCGUGAGGGAUGACGGCCUUCGGGUUGUAAACCUCUUUCAGCUAUGACGAAGCGCAAGUGACGGUAGUAGCAGAAGAAGGACCGGCCAACUACGUGCCAGCCGCCGCCGUAA